UGUGAGGUCUGAUCGUCAUGUGACUGCGAGCCGAGUGGCUGGAGACCGGAACGCCAGCUUCAAUGAAGAGCCGUUACUGAGAACGAGACCGAAGAUAGUGCUCGUCGUUUUAGGGAGGGUAUACACGCAUACACUCGCACAGCUUCACUCAACCACACACUCUUUUGAACACUUACUGCAAGGGUCUGCCGGACACAGGAAAAGUCUGGCGUUCAAACACCGUGCUAAGAGGGAGAGAACAGGAGUGCUGGGAGUAAAACCUUUCGCGAACGUUUGCUGUUAUGCGGGAGUUUAGGAUACUCUUCAUUUUUGAGUAGCCUGACAGCGUUGGAUAACUUAUGGAAUGUAAACGGCAAACAUAGCAGAAAGGGAACUUCUACCCUCCUUUUUACUUUGUCUUGCUUUCAUCGUGAAAUAUAUUAUCUGUGGAAAUACAUGAGAAGCGGAAUUGCGUUGUGAUAAACGCAUUGGUUGGAACAGUCAGCCGGGGUGAGAAAACUCGCUGCCUCGGCGUGGAUGAGACAGGACGGACAGGGGCGGCAUUAAAAAAACGAUUCGCAUGAACUUUCAAACUUGUAAAACAUAAUCUAUAGAUUUUUAUACGUUUUAGAUUUUUGCUUAAUUUGUAUUCGUCGAUUUUCACUCCGGGUUGCUGAACUUAUUUUGGAAUAUGGUUGGGGAAAUGGAACCGAAAGAGAAGCCGAAGCCGACGCCAGAAUAUCUCAUGCAGUUGAUGAACGACAAAAAACUGAUGAGCAGUCUGCCCAACUUUUGCGGCAUUUUCAACCACCUAGAGCGGCUGUUGGACGAAGAAAUCGGGCGGGUACGGAAGGACAUGUACAACGACACGAUGAACGGCAGCACGGAGAGGCGGAGCUCGGAGCUGCCGGACGCCGUGGGCCCCGUGGCGCAGCUGCAGGAGAAGCUCUACGUGCCCGUGAAGGAGUUCCCCGACUUUAAUUUCGUGGGGAGGAUCCUCGGGCCUCGGGGACUGACGGCGAAGCAGCUGGAGGCGGAGACCGGGUGCAAAAUCAUGGUGCGAGGGAAGGGCUCCAUGAGGGACAAGAAAAAGGAGGAGCAAAAUCGGGGGAAGCCCAACUGGGAGCACCUGAACGAAGACCUGCAUGUCCUGAUCACGGUGGAGGACUCCCAGAACCGGGCCGAGAUCAAGCUGAAGCGGGCCGUGGAGGAGGUCCGCAAGCUGCUGGUGCCGGCGGCGGAGGGAGAGGACAGCCUGAAGAAGAUGCAGCUGAUGGAGCUGGCCAUCCUCAACGGCACAUACAGAGACGCCAACGUCAAGUCGCCCGCACUCACCUUCUCUCUGGCAGCCACUGCCCAGGCCCCCCGCAUGAUCACAGGCCCCGGCCAAGUGAUGUCUGGGGCCACCCUCCGCACCCCGACCUCGGCCGGCCCCACCCUGAUGCCCCUGAUCCGACAGAUCCAGACCUCGGCGCUCAUGCCCAGCGGGGCACCCCACCCGGGGGCCACCCUCGUCCCCCAGGGACCCGAGUCCGGGCUCAUCUACGCACCCUACGAGUACCCCUACACGCUGGCCCCCGCCACUUCCAUUCUGGAGUACCCCAUCGACUCCACCGGGGUGUUAGGUAUGGCUUUCCCCACCAAAGGCUAAACGCGCUCAAGACCGGCAUCCCACCUGCGCGCUAAUCUAUGUGCUAACCCCUGUUUUGUUUCACAGAGUUGCAGUGUGUCUGUGUGUGUGUGUGUGUGUGUGUGUGUAUUCAGCUCACGCAGUCAGACAGACGGUUUUUUGCUACUGAUGUCCACCCUGGAAGUGUAUCCCAGAGAUAUUGUUAGGUGUUUGUAUGUGUGUGUGGGUGUGUGUUUGUUUGCAUGUGGGCAAGUGAGUGCACUGUACACAGAUUUUUGUAUCUUGUGUGUAUGUGAUUGUGUGUUAAAAUAUGAAAUCCAAAAGUUUUCUUAUAUAAUAAGGAAGUAAUCAGUAAUGAGUACUAUUGUAGAUUAUUACAUGUAUUCUAUAUGAUGUGUAGCGUUUGUAAAAUUGUUCUACAAUGCAUGCAUGAAAUCGUAUUACAUUUUAAAGUGAUUAAAAUUGAUAUUCAGUAUUUGUUACUAUAGAGUAUAUAGUUCUUCGUAUAUUGAAGAUAUGUGUCAUUCAUUUUGGAUUUCAUAUUUUACCGUAUAUUUACAUGUUCAAUGCCUUCUCGAUCUGAUGUAAAACAAAAAAUACUGUCUUCAUUUACUAAUCACUUAAUUUAUUGCAGUUAAAGUUUUAAGUUUUAAACUUUGAGCUUGGUCCGAGUCUGAUCAGUAUUAUAUAUCCAUAUUUGAAGGUUUGUCUGGGGGAAACCAUUUGAACCAGCGGGGGGGGGGGGGGGAGAAGGUUAAACCAUUCCUGAGUGUGCUUUGAUUACGUGAUUAGUAAAGCCUGCAUGCUGCCAGCAAACCCGUUCAGGGGAGUCACGCGGACCCCGUCUGGGUUUACUGACAGUUCAGUGGCAGCGGACUGCCGCGGUGUUAAAAACUCUGUACAUACUCUCUUUAAAAAUGCAUUGUGCCUUAUUUUGAAGUUUUUUUUUUGUAAUUUAAAUGAUGUGUAGAUGCCUUAAGUCGUUUUUUUUUUUGUAUUGUCAUUACGAAAAAAAAGGAAACUACUGUCUUUCUUACACUGCCUGUAUACGGGAUAAGUCUUCUAACUGUGCUCUGGUGUCGUUGCAAUUCAAGCAGGUGCGGUGGCAGCUAAGGUUCGGAGGCACGACAUGCGCGUGCAUCCUUACCAAAGGAUAAUGACCGCCGACAGAGCCGCCACAGGCAACUAACCUUUGACCUUCUGACCUCUGAACUCCUGCACCCAAUGAUGACCUGACCAAUGCCUGCCUGCUGACCAGCUCUCUGGCAAACGUCUACGCUUGCCUGUCUCGCGGUCGCGGCGAGCACGGGCCCAGCUUUUCACCUAACAAAGCGACACGACGAUGACUCGACAGCACCGCCAUCCCCUCCCCUUCCCCCUCCCCCUCCCUGCAGCCAUCUCCGGUCAGGUGACCGUGGCUCUGAUUCUGCACUGAAUAGUUAUACAGCAAUAAUAAGGUCCAACGCCCCUUUCCCACACACACACACACACACACACGCACACACACACACACAUGCAUACACAUAGGUGAACACAGCCCCCACUCAAACCUGAAUGUACUGUUGCAGUAAUGAGCAAGUGUCAUGUGUGAGUCUUUUGGUCAUUUAAGGCCAUUUGCCAAAUUGAUUCCCAGCUUGUGAAAUAUUUUGAGUGUGUGGAAGUCUGGCAAGCAGGCUAAUUGGGAGGCCGACACAAGAGGCGGGGUUCAGGCAGGGCUGAAGGACUGUGGGUUAAUGUGCGUGGGUGGGACUAAAGGUGAGUGGGGGUGGGGUUAAAGAGGGUUGGGGUGGGGCUACGUGGGGACAGAAGGACCCUGUACACUGAGUGACAGCAAAGGUGCAUGCGUCAGUCGUCCCAUUACUUAGCAACAUUUCUUUUUAGGAACACUGCCUUGCAUCAUCAAGGACAUUAAAAACGAAGCCAUGCUUUCCUCUCUGCUUUAUGUGUAUCAAAAUUGUAGAUAAAUAUUGAGACACGUGGAAAAAUGAAACUCAGAAAAACUAAUAAGUUGACAAUUUUUAUGAUUCAAGGGUGCUGCCAAACAGGAAGAUAUAUAUUCUCAAAUGUCAUUGUAAGCCUUUUAUAUUUACAAUUAUUGUAAACAAAGAACAAACCCUUUAGUUUAAAUACAAACUGGUUCUUUUUAUGGGACUGAAGAGGUAUUGACGACCAAAAUGGCCUUUUUUUUUUUUUUUUGUUAAACAUUUACAGUGUUUGGAAAGAAAUUGAAGUGCCUUUCUUUACUCACGGUCAUUGAGUCUGUGCGUGCCAUCGGCCAGCUGUCUGACUGCACGUGACAGUUAAUGCAUUCUACACCAUCGCCUUACACACGAAACAGUGAAUGAGUGAAAAAAAAAAAAAUAUAUAUAUAUAAAUCUCUCAAAGCCUAAGACAUGCAAAUAUGACUCUGGCUGCUUACACUAAAGACUGAGGAAAAAAAUGAAGCCAAGAGCAAAAGUUGCCUUUUUGUGUUUUGGUUUUUUGUUUUUUGUUUUUUUGCCAACCUUUGUGUAAUCAUACGGAGAAUCACGGAGCAGUAUGAUUACACCAUUGCAUCUAAACUCUAUGGGACUCUUUGAAUUACUGAAGCUCCACUGAACUGGAAGAGGGACUGGGAGUGGCGCAAGCUCACUCACCUCUGUGUCAGGGAAGAGGCACUUUGCUUGCAACUGUGGAUUUAAUUAAUCUGUCUCGGUGUACCUGCGCUGUUAGUGAGGCAGAUUAGCAUUCCACUUGCAGCUACACACCGGAAAACAGGUACGCUCGAAUAUCAGAGCAUCGUAACAUUGGGGCUUAUGGGAGGUGAAGUCCAGAGCUUGUAGUCUGCGUGGUCAAUUAUAACCCUUUGUUUUGGACUUCAUCUCCCACUAGCUCCACGGCGUUAUCUUUUUUGUCUUCCCGACAAUUGGAUACAGAGCAGUCCUGAACCUGUGACAGUUCUCUAAUAAAAAAAAAAUAGAUUUUUUUUCUGGUUUUUGCAUUUGUGUGUGUGUGUGUGUUACAAACUUUUGGUAUUUUAGGAUAUUUAGAGAUCUAGUUGUUUUGCAUAGAUAUGUUAUGUCCCCCACUGAGGACCGCCCCUUGCCUGUGUGGAGGAGGCUUUGGGGUGUUUUGCCAGCAGAUGCAGGUGGCUUUUGGGCCACAUAUUAUACUCUAGGUGGGUUCCUGUGAGUUCUCUGAACAGCCAUCUCAUGGGGAGCCGUGCCCCCAAAACCAUAUGAAACGUAUGUCAAAAUGCAAGCUGUUAGGGGUGUAUUUUGAAUGAUUAUUUGGUACAUAUUUUGAAAAGAAAAAAAAAAAAAAAAAAACUUUUUGUUACAAAAUAUGCCAAUUAUACACUGUUGUUUCAUGCUCAUUUCUACAUGAUGCCAUACUACAUACAUAUAGUACAGUAUUGAAACAAAAGUGCAUACAGUAAAAAAAAAAAAUACUUUUGCAUUAUUUUUUAAGGGGAGAAAUUGUGGCGCUUUACAGUAGUUUUCUCAGUUCUUGUACCCAUAUUUUAUUACUAUGCAACCGAUUGGCCUGUAAUGCUUAGAUUCCUUGCCAUAAACGUGUCUUCCUGUUUUAUAUCUUCGCAGUUCCAAUGAUGCAGUGUCAUAUUAGAUGUUUUGGAAGGUUUUUUGUGACAGUAUAGAUGUGUGCCAUCUCAGUUCUUUUGGGGAAGACCCUGGAAUAGUAUAGGCUGGGGGAAAUGUUAUUCGCAAAGACCGCAUAUUAUUUUAAAGUUUAAGAUAUUUGUUAAUGUGUGAGACUAUCAUGUCCAAUGAGCUUGUUGGCAUCUUUAAAAUCUCACUACUCAUUGGGUCCUCAGUAUUAUUUUAGAGAUCUGUUUGUUAUGGCAGUAUAAUGUUCUUUGUUUUUGUUUGUGUUUCAAGGUGUUUUUUUUUUUAUUUCUCUUUUUUUGCAGUCUGUGUGCGUAUGUGUGCGCGCGUGUGUGUGUGUGUGGGUAAAUUCUGUUCUUACAUGGUAGUCUGUCCCUAUGUUAUAACUGCUCAAGCUUUGUAUUAACAAUAUCAAUUAUCCAGAUAAUUGCCUACAGGAUUACAUGGAUGUAUUCACAGCUGUUGUUACAAGUUUAUAAUGUAUUUUUCUAUCUAAUUUUGUAUGUAUGUAAUAAAUAACAUUAAUGAA
Molecule: RNA transcript, 5743 nt
Organism: Anguilla rostrata (American eel)
Lineage: Eukaryota; Metazoa; Chordata; Actinopteri; Anguilliformes; Anguillidae
Gene: qki2
Gene name: QKI, KH domain containing, RNA binding 2
Exons: 8
Source: RefSeq, a predicted model, not a curated record